RNAcentral lists this unclassified non-coding RNA (288 nucleotides) under Hevea brasiliensis (rubber tree). Lineage: Eukaryota; Viridiplantae; Streptophyta; Magnoliopsida; Malpighiales; Euphorbiaceae. The record is from RNAcentral.
GUGAGCUUCUUACUGGUGUUGUCCCAUAUACUGAUCUUCGUGCUGAAGCUCAGGCUUAUACUGUAUUGGAGAUGAACUAUACUAAGCAGCAACUUACUGCAGNNNNNNNNNNNNNGCGACCUGUUCUUGCCGGUCCUGAGUCAGGGGCAUCCACAAGUAUGCUGACAUUGAUACAGAGGUGUUGGGAUGAAAAUCCUCAGAAUAGGCCUUCUUUUAGUGAUAUCAUUUUGGAAAUUUGUCCAAUUUUGGAGCACAGAAAAAAAUCAAUGGAAGAAAAUUUUGCCCCUG